CAGACUUUGGUUGUAAACUAUGAAACGCCCUUCUUUCACCACUAUAUAAACCCGUUGACGAAAAUUCAGCUUCCUGUUCCAAGGGCAUGAGGACUUGCGGUCCCCGCGUUAAAAAGGACAAGGUCACCUACAGAACUAAGCCAAUCUCAGUGUGAGCUCUGGUUGAACGACAAGAACCUAACAAAAUUAGCAUCGAAUUUCAAUGUGAAGAUGACGAUCCACACACCGAAAGGCUGAAUUUCGACUAUACCAGCCAGAAUAUAGCAUGAGCUUAAAGUAUGGCAACUUUGUAUGAACUUUGAACUCUUAUUCACUAAAGAAGUGAUACCUCCUAGCCGUUGCAUUAGCGCAGCAACUGUAGACGUGGGCUAGGAGAGGACGGACAGAGUACCCAUUCUACCAUGCUCCAGUUCACCACUAGACAUUCUUCAGAGGACCAGAGAUCCAUGCUGGACCACCCCGCCUUCUAUCUACGACCAAUCUACCGAAGCGCAGCUCAGAGACUGUAACGGUUGUCGUCGGGAAUGGAGGACCAAAAACGCAGCAGGAAUGUGGAUGCUCAUCUUGUAUUUAUUUUAAAAUCAAGUGAACACCAAAAUAACAAAAAACGAAGAACUCACGAACAACAAAGCAGUCUUGUCAGGCUCACACAUGCAAAACAAGAAACAACCACCCACCCUAAAGGUGCAGACCCCGGAUGCACCUCAUAAAUAAACACACAAAAAAAACAACAACAAACGAAAAUUCCCCCUAUACUAAAGGGAGGGAAGGGAGGGUCGCAGGCAGACCCCCUCGGUUCCGGGUCGCAGGCAGACCCCCUCGGUUCCGGGUCGCAGGCAGACCCCCUCGGUUCCGGGUCGCAGGCAGACCCCCUCGGUUCCGGGUCGCAGGCAGUCUCCCUCGGUUCCGGACUAGACACUGUUGCCGGAUACUCUGGACUGCACACUGGUGCCGGAUACUCUGGACUGCACACUGUUGCCGGAUACUCUGGACUGCACACUGUUGCCGGAUACUCUGGACUGCACACUGUUGCCGGAUACUCUGGACCGCACACUGUUGCCGGAUACUCUGGACUGCACACUAUUGCCGAACUCUCGAGGCUGGGUUGACGCACUAGAAGCCUGAUGCGUGGUGCUGGUACUGGAGGUAUCAGCCUGGGAACACGCACCUCAGGGCUAGUGCGGGGAGCGGGAACAGGCCGAGUCGGACUGG
Molecule: long non-coding RNA, 1212 nt
Filed under: Salmo salar (Atlantic salmon)
Lineage: Eukaryota; Metazoa; Chordata; Actinopteri; Salmoniformes; Salmonidae
Description: lncRNA (ENSSSAG00000098179.1)
Source: RNAcentral